UUUGUUUCCCCAAAUUUCUUCUGCAAAUUGAAAAUUUCACUCUCUUUCUCCGUCAACAUUUUCUCCACUUCAGAAUCUAUCUAUCUAUCAAUUAUAUAAUACAAUACAUAUUGGAGAGCUGACAAUGAUUCUCUAUCCUAUGUGGCGCUCCCUAAGCUCUCUAUUCUGUUUUAUCUAAAUUCUACUACCUUUUACUCAAAAAAAAACUCACGCUUCUCAGUUCUCACAGCAAUCAAUCCCUAAUUUGGUAUUUUCUCGGCAUAGCUUGAUCAAUGGCUCAAAUCUCUCUCUCUCUCUCCAUAUCAAUGCAAACGCCCUAAUUUGGUAUCUGACGCCUUACCAUAGGAGCCUCCAUGGUAUGCCAGCUCUUCUCUGACGCCCUACCAUAUAUGCGCCUCUCUUCCCCUCCCAAAUCUAGAAUCAUAAGUCGUCGCCGCCGGCUUCGUCUCCUUCAGUCGCUGCCGCCGCCGGCUGCAGCUCACCAGGGAAUGCCCCAUUCUUUGCAAGAUUGAGCUCAAACAUGUUUGGUUCCGAUCCAGGAUCGUAGGUCAGUGACAAAAAUCUUACUCUUGAUUUCUGAGAAUCAUUCAUCAAUUUAAUUAUCAUUUGGAUUCUUGCUUUCUUUUUUAUUUUACCGAUGUAAGUUUCGCUUUUUAUUAUGUUAAAUUUGGAGAUGGAAUAUUGCAUUUUUUAAUUGGGCGGAGGGAUGAUAUUCUUAUAUUAUGAAGUUUCGCUUUUUAUGAUGUUUAAUCCUCAAAAACAUUAUAUAUUGUCCAUAUAGGCAAGCUGGAAAGCAAAUACGAGGUGUCAUAAGCUCUGCUUAUAAGAUAUAAAGGCAAGCAAAGCAAGAGAUAUAUAACCAGCCUCCAUCCUAUCUGGAUUUAUGUAUACACAGGAAAAUACUUCAUGCACACAUUAUUCUCCGUAUCAUUCUAUGUAUUGGAAAUUGUUCCCAUUUUCUG
This 962-nucleotide long non-coding RNA is filed under the name Salvia miltiorrhiza (redroot sage). RNAcentral's name for it is "long non-coding RNA (SMIL_LNC010481)". The record is from RNAcentral. Lineage: Eukaryota; Viridiplantae; Streptophyta; Magnoliopsida; Lamiales; Lamiaceae.